UUUACCCUUCCCCUUCACACCUUCAGAAAAUCAGAAACUUGCAAGUCAUUGGACAUGUAUUUUCUGAGUUUUCUUUUCAAUAUAUUUUCUUUAGUUUUAUAGAUAUAUAUGUUAUUAUUUUUCUCUCCUCUCAAUCACUCAUACAAGUCCCAGACCCAUCUUUUUCUUUCUUCUUAUUUUCCUUCUUCUUUUCUUCUUCCUUCUCUGUUUUUUUUUCUUUUCUUUUCCUUCUACCAGAUUAGAGAGAGAUGAGAGUUUGAGAUGAGGGAGAGAUGGGAGAUUGGCUGAGAUAGCGAGGGGAGGAAGGGAGAAGACCUAGCCGGUGGGCUGGCCACCGGACUGGGCAGACGGCACUGCCGGGCCGGCAGGCCACGGUCCCAUGUUGGCGACGUCCCCGGAGAGCAUUUUUUCGGCGAUUUCUCCGAUACCCAUACCAUAGGAAGCCCAUUUUCUUCAUGGGUAGAAGGACAUUUCAAACUUUUGUUUAGCAAGAUGGCAGUAUACAUAAUAGUGCUGAGAGACGGAGUGCCAGUAGGCCUAUUGGUGGUCGAGGACCCCCAAAUCUAGCCCUAUGAGUGGGAGACUUGGACCUAUUGUAUUAUAAUGUAGCUGAUGUAGCAGUCUAAUCAUAAUAUCAGUUAGCAGCCUGGGGAUCCUGUCUUUUCCUUGGACCGUAGAGCGACUAGUUCGUUUUAGUACAGCUUGUUUUUUUUGUAGCUGUACAUCAUGCAGUCCUAUGUGUAAUUAGGAGGGCUAUCAACAACUUAGUUGUUGAUUUUUGUGUAUGCCUCCGCACUUUUGUUAGUUAAA
Alnus glutinosa is the source of this 810-nucleotide long non-coding RNA. RefSeq lists it as uncharacterized. NCBI's taxonomy places the organism in Eukaryota, Viridiplantae, Streptophyta, Magnoliopsida, Fagales, Betulaceae. The transcript has 3 exons. The record is from RefSeq and is a predicted model, not a curated record.